This 442-nucleotide ribosomal RNA is filed under the name uncultured soil bacterium. Its description in RNAcentral is "bacterial SSU rRNA". It matches the Rfam family "Bacterial small subunit ribosomal RNA", at positions 26 to 513 of the family's 1533-position model. The record is from RNAcentral.
AGAACGAACGCUGGCGGCAUGCCUAAUACAUGCAAGUCGAACGAACUCUUCGGAGUUAGUGGCGCACGGGUGCGUAACGCGUGGGAAUCUGCCCUUGGGUUCGGAAUAACAGUUGGAAACGACUGCUAAUACCGGAUGAUGACGAAAGUCCAAAGAUUUAUCGCCCAGGGAUGAGCCCGCGUAGGAUUAGCUAGUUGGUGAGGUAAAGGCUCACCAAGGCGACGAUCCUUAGCUGGUCUGAGAGGAUGAUCAGCCACACUGGGACUGAGACACGGCCCAGACUCCUACGGGAGCAGCAGUAGGGAAUAGUUGGACAAGUGGGACGAAAGGCCUAGGAUCCAGCAAUGCCGCGUGAGUGAUGAAGGCCUUAGGUGUAAAGCUUCUUUACCGAGUAUGAUAAUGAACGUAGUAGUCGGAAGAAGUAACGGCCCCGGUACUAACC